AACGCACCUUGCGCUCCUUGGUAUUCCGAGGAGCAUGCCUGUUUGAGUGUCAUUAAAUUCUCAACCUAACACCUGUUUUUCAAUGGGUUUUGUUAGGCUUGGAUAUGGGGGCUUGCAGGUCCGCUCUUUUGUGGUCUGCUCCUCUGAAAUGCAUUAGUGGGUUUGUGCCCCUCAUCUAUUGGUGUGAUAAUUAUCUACGCCGUGGGUGAUGGAUUGGCCGUCAAUGAACCUGCUCAUAACCGUCCGUCUCGGACAACUUUGAUCAUUUUGACCUCAAAUCAGGUAAGACUACCCGCUGAACUUAA
RNAcentral lists this unclassified non-coding RNA (305 nucleotides) under uncultured Coprinopsis. RNAcentral's name for it is "sequence contains ITS2". The stretch from base 1 to 52 matches the Rfam family "5.8S ribosomal RNA", at positions 103 to 154 of the family's 154-position model. The record is from RNAcentral. Lineage: Eukaryota; Fungi; Basidiomycota; Agaricomycetes; Agaricales; Psathyrellaceae.